RNAcentral lists this long non-coding RNA (1238 nucleotides) under Phocoena sinus (vaquita). RNAcentral describes it as "lncRNA (ENSPSNG00000007929.1)". The record is from RNAcentral. Lineage: Eukaryota; Metazoa; Chordata; Mammalia; Artiodactyla; Phocoenidae.
AUAAUACAGUCUGAUGACUUUAUCCAAAGGCAGCUCUCAUCAGCCCCAUACCCAGAGUCUAUGAUCUUUUCAAGAACUCAUGAAAAUGUUUGAGUGAUUGACAGACAUAGUUUUUGGCUCCCAAAUUAAAAAAUAAAAUGAAAGGAAACUGCUAAAUCAAAAUCAAUGCACAUUCACCUAAAUGCAUAUAAAACAUAACUCUUAAUCAACUUCAUUAAUUCUCUAACAGAAAUCAAUAACAUUUUCAUUAAGCUUGAAAAGUAUAUAAUGGUUAGCCAGGAGAUUUUGAUAUGGGUAGGGGGGAUGGUGGGGGAAGGAGAGGUCAAGAGGAAUAGCCACCAUUCUGACAAGACUGAGGGCUCCUUGGGAAGAACUAAGGGCCUCUUCUGUGGUUAAGCGAAAGGAGUCCCAUGGUGGAGGUGGUCCAAGGCAGUGGUGACUGGGGACAGCAGUGCAUAGGUGAGCAGGGGCUCUAGGGUACAUUGUGAGCUGCUUUCUCCACAGCCAACUUUAGAUCUACAGGUGUUGCUAUUAUUUUGUUUCCUGUUUAUUAAAUCUCUUUCUAAGGUAUUUUGCUAGUACUCUUACUUGGACAGAGUUUUUGAGUCUGGCCUUGAAGUCAGACAGCCCAGGUUCAGAUUCCCCACUAUGUCUGCAGAUUUCAAAUUCCCUCAUGUUGAGCUCUCCCAGCCUCUGUUUUCUCAUCCAUCAAAUGGAUUAUUAAUACUUGCUUCCAAGGCUGGUGUAAACAUAUUAAGUAAUGUGGGAGCUCUUAGCAUAAGGCCUGACGUAGAGUACAUAAAAUUUUUCCUAUCCUAAAUAUCCAAGUCAUUAAAAAUAGCAUGCAUUUUACACAUAUUACUUGAGUAUGUUCCUCAUCCUUUGGUCAUUUAAGAAAAGAGUCUUCAAAACUGGGUAUGAAAGUGGAAAGUGAAGUCUGGUAUCCACAUUUAAAACAGGAAAAGGUAUCUAUUUACAGAUGAUAUGAUAUUAAAUAUGGAAAGCCACAAAAAAUUAAGUGAGUUUGGCAAGGUUGAAGGAUACAAUCUUAUACAAAAAUAAUUUGUAUUUCUAUACGUGCAGUGAACAAUCCGAAGUGAAAUUAAGAAUCCCACUUACAGUAGCAUGUGGUGACCUAAAUGGGAAGGAAAUCCAAAAAAGAGUGGAUAUUUGUAUACGUACAAUUCACUCUGCUGUACAACAGAAACUAGCACAACAUUGUAAAGCAACUGUACUCC